UACAGAGGUCUCAAGCGUUGUUCGGAUUCAUUGGGCGUAAAGGGUGCGUAGGCGGCGCGGUAAGUCGGGUGUGAAAUUUCGAGGCUUAACUUCGAAACUGCAUUCGAUACUGCCGUGCUUGAGGACUGGAGAGGUGACUGGAAUUUACGGUGUAGCGGUGAAAUGCGUAGAUAUCGUAAGGAAGACCAGUGGCGAAGGCGGGUCUCUGGACAGUUCCUGACGCUGAGGCACGAAGGCCAGGGGAGCAAACGGG
RNAcentral lists this ribosomal RNA (253 nucleotides) under uncultured bacterium. RNAcentral's name for it is "partial 16S ribosomal RNA". It matches the Rfam family "Bacterial small subunit ribosomal RNA", at positions 524 to 776 of the family's 1533-position model. The record is from RNAcentral.